CGCGCAGGCGGUCACGCAGGUCAUCUGUGAAAGCACUCGGCUCAACCGGGAUGUUGCGGGUGAAACCGCGUGACUUGAGGGUGGGAGAGGUCGGUGGAAUUCCCGGUGUAGUGGUGAAAUGCGUAGAGAUCGGGAGGAACACCCGUAGCGAAGGCGGCCGACUGGACCAUUCCUGACGCUGAGGCGCGAAGGCCAGGGGAGCGAACG
RNAcentral lists this ribosomal RNA (207 nucleotides) under uncultured bacterium. RNAcentral describes it as "partial 16S ribosomal RNA". It matches the Rfam family "Bacterial small subunit ribosomal RNA", at positions 568 to 774 of the family's 1533-position model. The record is from RNAcentral.